This is a long non-coding RNA of Trifolium pratense (red clover), 714 nucleotides long. RefSeq lists it as uncharacterized. The transcript is spliced from 2 exons. The record is from RefSeq and is a predicted model, not a curated record. NCBI's taxonomy places the organism in Eukaryota, Viridiplantae, Streptophyta, Magnoliopsida, Fabales, Fabaceae.
AGAAAAAAAAAAUCAUGAAUAGAUAAUUUGCAAACAAUUUCUGACCUUACUUAUUUCAUGUACAUAAAUUUUUCUACAUGAAACCGGCUAAAAAAUUCAAGGACCACAUGACAUCAAUCAAUAGCUUAAAUUUGAAAAAAAAAUAAAAUAGUUACUAAUUCUAACAAGAAAAUAGAUAGUGAGGUACUUCAUUUUAGAUAUUGUCCCAUUUUAUUAUAUUAUCAUUAUACUGUUUUGGCCCAAAAUAAUCAAUCAAUCAUUAUCAUAAGUUGAGUUUUAUUUAAUCUCAAUAUAUUGUGGCCCUUCUAGUGACGCCAAAGAUAAGAUGAUAUCAAUGAGAUAUUAAGGUACAUGGAUGAUGAUAUUCCAAAGGGGUUAUGUGGAUGGAGUUGGAAGGAGAAUAAAUUGUUUGAGUUGGCUUUAGCUUUGGUAGAUGAGAGGCAUCCGGAACGGUGGGAGAUGGUUGCGGCAAUUGUUGGAGGAAAAAAGAGUGCAGACGAAGUUCGGGAACAUUAUGUGAUACUUUUGGAGGAUUUGGAGCUUAUAGAAUCUGGAAAAUUUGAUCAUAAAUUUGGAGAAGAUCAUACUUGUGUUAUUGUUGACCUUACUAAGUCCUUGUGCUUGUCUGAUAAUAAUAUUGAUUGAUAUAGCUUCAUGUAAGUUCUUACUUUUUAUGUAACAAAAUUAAAAUAAUUUUAUCUUUAUUCUCUCAUA